Lucilia cuprina (Australian sheep blowfly) is the source of this 438-nucleotide long non-coding RNA. RefSeq lists it as uncharacterized. The record is from RefSeq and is a predicted model, not a curated record. The transcript has 2 exons. NCBI's taxonomy places the organism in Eukaryota, Metazoa, Arthropoda, Insecta, Diptera, Calliphoridae.
UUAAUUUAAUAAUUUCUUAAGAAUUAAUUCUUAAACAUAAAUAAAUUUAGUAUCAAAUUAAAGAGCAAUAAAUUUCCUUUUAGUGUAAUAUGAAAUAAAAGUGGUGGAACGAAAAUUAAGCAAAUAAUUCAAGUGUUAACUUCUUAAUGGUCAAUUUGUUGGGAGUGCGGGUGAUUGUUGUUAGCUUUGCUAUUGCAGUUUUUUUGUUGUUUGUUUUUGUUGUAAAUAAAGUGCGUAAAGUUUAAUGUUUAGAGAAGAGUGCAAAAAAAAAAAGAGUUUCCUACUUGGCUGAAGUGUGAAAACAAAAGGGAAAAUAAGAAUAUUUUUAGGGAAUUAAUAUAUAAAAAUGAAUUAAAAUGUUAUUUAAUAUAUUUAACAUCUUAAAAUUAAGACAAAACAAAAUUUAUUUAGCCCUUUGCUGUACAUGAUAAUAAAUGC